RNAcentral lists this ribosomal RNA (497 nucleotides) under uncultured bacterium. Its description in RNAcentral is "partial 16S ribosomal RNA". It matches the Rfam family "Bacterial small subunit ribosomal RNA", at positions 28 to 507 of the family's 1533-position model. The record is from RNAcentral.
GAUGAACGCUGGCGGCGUGCCUAAUACAUGCAAGUCGAGCGAACGGACGAGAAGCUUGCUUUUCUGAUGUUAGCGGCGGACGGGUGAGUAACACGUGGAUAACCUACCUAUAAGACUGGGAUAACUUCGGGAAACCGGAGCUAAUACCGGAUAAUAUUUUGAACCGCAUGGUUCAAAAGUGAAAGACGGUCUUGCUGUCACUUAUAGAUGGAUCCGCGCUGCAUUAGCUAGUUGGUAAGGUAACGGCUUACCAAGGCAACGAUGCAUAGCCGACCUGAGAGGGUGAUCGGCCACACUGGAACUGAGACACGGUCCAGACUCCUACGGGAGGCAGCAGUAGGGAAUCUUCCGCAAUGGGCGAAAGCCUGACGGAGCAACGCCGCGUGAGUGAUGAAGGUCUUCGGAUCGUAAAACUCUGUUAUUAGGGAAGAACAUAUGUGUAAGUAACUGUGCACAUCUUGAUGGCACCUAAUCAGAAAGCCACGGCUAACUACGUG